UACUAGUGCUUCUCCUCAUAAUCGAAUGAAUCUUUUAUCUUUUACUAAAGAUUGACAUGGGGAGGAAGGAGCAUGACAGUUGCUUCAAUUCUUUGAAGGCUUGUGGGAAUAAACAAGGCU
Balaenoptera musculus (blue whale) is the source of this 120-nucleotide small nuclear RNA. RefSeq annotates it as U5 spliceosomal RNA. The transcript has a single exon. The record is from RefSeq and is a predicted model, not a curated record. NCBI's taxonomy places the organism in Eukaryota, Metazoa, Chordata, Mammalia, Artiodactyla, Balaenopteridae.